RNAcentral lists this ribosomal RNA (253 nucleotides) under uncultured bacterium. Its description in RNAcentral is "partial 16S ribosomal RNA". It matches the Rfam family "Bacterial small subunit ribosomal RNA", at positions 524 to 776 of the family's 1533-position model. The record is from RNAcentral.
UACAUGGGGUGCAAACGUUGCUCGGAAUUAUUGGGCGUAAAGCGCGCGUAGGCGGUUACUUAAGUCGGAUGUGAAAGCCCUCGGCUUAACCGAGGAAGUGCAUCCGAAACUGGGUAGCUAGAGUACGAAAGAGGGUCGCGGAAUUCCCGGUGUAGAGGUGAAAUUCGUAGAUAUCGGGAGGAACACCGGUGGCGAAGGCGGCGACCUGGGUCGAGACUGACGCUAAUGUGCGAAAGCGUGGGGAGCAAACAGG